Molecule: long non-coding RNA, 1601 nt
Filed under: Homo sapiens (human)
Lineage: Eukaryota; Metazoa; Chordata; Mammalia; Primates; Hominidae
Description: HSALNT0361487
Source: RNAcentral
CCAUUCCACCAUUCUGUCUGGCCCACUGCUUCUUACAAGAUUAAGAUAGCAGAUCCCAUGGGUGUAGCUGUAGACCAAGACCUGGAAUUAACACAUCAGAAGAUUCUAUGAGGAAACCCAUUUAAAAAUAGGAUGCAUUUUUUUCUUUUCUGCACAGGGAGAAAGUUUAAGCUCUCCUCACUAUGAGUUUUCAAGUAUAAAAGACUUUUUCUUCCACGAUUUUGAGAACAACUGAGGACUCUUGUGACCAGGACAACAGGGAAGCUUGCAGCAAGAUAGCUCCAGGUUGGAUUCAUGCUUCGCACCCCAAGGGCUGCCAGCCAGAGAGGAGGAGAAGCAAUCACUCCUGCAGUUUCUGAACACUACACAGACGCCAGGUAGCUUCUUCAGGAGAACAGCCCUCUGAGGAGGCAGGAAGAGGAGGCUUAUCUUUCAGCAGCCGGAGCUGCUGAGAUCUCUGGGCAGAUUAAGCUCUCUCUAAUGGAUGGGCUCCAGCCUGGCACAUUCAGUGGAGAGGGAUCCACUCAUCCAUCAUCAACAUAAUAUGGUCCUCCCUGCACUUCACAGUGUCCUCUUGCUAUUGAAAAGGCUUUUUUGCCUUCUCAAGUUUCUUUGUCAACAGUCUACAGGAAGAAGCUCAGGCCGCCACCGGCAGAGGUGAAUGCAAGCUCACGUUUUAUUUCUGACUGCUUAAUCAUUGCCUCGAUCACUGCUCAAGCUCUGCCUUUGUUUCCAAAGGUUACCUGUGGGAAAACUUCUUUUUCUAUGCUGAAAUUAAUAGGGAGGCAAAGAUGAGUCCACUGAUAAGCAGAGCCUUAAAACUCACAUAGAGAAACAACUUUGCUGGAGUGUGUGUGAGUGAACCACUAAGGAAUCAGAUAGUGUGAUGGCAGUUAUCAUUGCAGGUUAAGACAUUUCUACAAAUAUUUCGACAUCUCCAUAUACUCACUCCUUUCCCCCCUGAGUGGAGAGACUCAGCUACCAAGAGAGGAAGCUCAAAAAAAACAGAAGCUUCAAACAAACAACCAACCAAAAAAAAAAAAAAACUGUGGGUUCAUCAGAGGUGGUAGGGAAGACAAAAACAUGGGAGGAGCAGCUGGGCACGGUGGCUCAAGCCUGUAAUCCCAGCACUUUGCGAGGCUGAGGUGGGUGGAUCACCUGAGGUCAGGAGUUCGAGACCAGCCUGGCCAACAUGGUGAAACCCCAUCUCUACUAAAAAUACAAAAAAUUAGCCGGGCGUUGUGGUACGCACCUGUAAUCCCAGCUACUCCGGAGGCUGAGGCAGCAGAAUCGCUUGAACCCAGGAGGCAGAGGUUGCAACGAGCCAAGAUCGCACCAUUGCACUCCAGCCUGGGCAACAAGAGCGAAACUCCAUCUAAAAAAAACAAACAAGCAAACAAACAAAAAACACGGGAGGAGCAAUAAAAAGGAAUCCAUGCUUUGAUUUUUUUUUUUAGUGAGAGGAAGGGAAGGCUGCUGCCUCUCACUUCUCCCUGUUUUGUUGUUCUUUUAAGUAGCAUGUGUCACUCUGUAUAUAUCCUGUCCAUGUGUUUUCUUUUAUUAUUAUUUGUCCACUUGCCUAGAAUGAAAACUCCAUGGGA